UACGUAGGUGGCGAGCGUUGUCCGGAUUUACUGGGCGUAAAGGGAGCGUAGGCGGACUUUUAAGUGAGAUGUGAAAUACCCGGGCUCAACUUGGGUGCUGCAUUUCAAACUGGAAGUCUAGAGUGCAGGAGAGGAGAGUGGAAUUCCUAGUGUAGCGGUGAAAUGCGUAGAUAUUAGGAGGAACACCAGUUGCGAAGGCGGCUCUCUGGACUGUAACUGACACUGAGGCACGAAAGCGUGGGGAGCAAACAGGAUUAGAUACCCCGGUAGU
This 271-nucleotide ribosomal RNA is filed under the name uncultured prokaryote. RNAcentral's name for it is "partial 16S ribosomal RNA". It matches the Rfam family "Bacterial small subunit ribosomal RNA", at positions 524 to 794 of the family's 1533-position model. The record is from RNAcentral.